RNAcentral lists this ribosomal RNA (747 nucleotides) under unidentified microorganism. RNAcentral's name for it is "bacterial SSU rRNA". It matches the Rfam family "Bacterial small subunit ribosomal RNA", at positions 51 to 799 of the family's 1533-position model. The record is from RNAcentral.
ACACAUGCAAGUCGAGGGGUAUAGUUCUUCGGAACUAGAGACCGGCGCACGGGUGCGUAACGCGUAUGCAAUCUACCUUUCACAGAGGGAUAGCCCAGAGAAAUUUGGAUUAAUACCUCAUAGUAUUAUAGAGUGGCAUCACUUUAUAAUUAAAGUCACAACGGUGAAAGAUGAGCAUGCGUCCCAUUAGCUAGUUGGUAAGGUAACGGCUUACCAAGGCAACGAUGGGUAGGGGUCCUGAGAGGGAGAUCCCCCACACUGGUACUGAGACACGGACCAGACUCCUACGGGAGGCAGCAGUGAGGAAUAUUGGACAAUGGGCGCAAGCCUGAUCCAGCCAUGCCGCGUGCAGGAUGACGGUCCUAUGGAUUGUAAACUGCUUUUGUACAGGAAGAAACACUGGUUCGUGAACCAGCUUGACGGUACUGUAAGAAUAAGGAUCGGCUAACUCCGUGCCAGCAGCCGCGGUAAUACGGAGGAUCCAAGCGUUAUCCGGAAUCAUUGGGUUUAAAGGGUCCGUAGGCGGUUUAGUAAGUCAGUGGUGAAAGCCCAUCGCUCAACGGUGGAACGGCCAUUGAUACUGCUAAACUUGAAUUAUUAGGAAGUAACUAGAAUAUGUAGUGUAGCGGUGAAAUGCUUAGAGAUUACAUGGAAUACCAAUUGCGAAGGCAGGUUACUACUAAUGGAUUGACGCUGAUGGACGAAAGCGUGGGUAGCGAACAGGAUUAGAUACCCUGGUAGUCCACG